Molecule: ribosomal RNA, 253 nt
Filed under: uncultured bacterium
Lineage: Bacteria
Description: partial 16S ribosomal RNA
Rfam family: Bacterial small subunit ribosomal RNA
Source: RNAcentral
GACGAACCGUGCGAACGUUAUUCGGAAUCACUGGGCUUAAAGGGCGCGUAGGCGGGCAGGCAAGUCGAAGGUGAAAUCCCACGGCUCAACCGUGGAAGUGCCCCCGAUACUGCCUGUCUGGAGGGAGAUAGGGGCGUGCGGAACUUCCGGUGGAGCGGUGAAAUGCGUAGAUAUCGGAAGGAACACCGGUGGCGAAAGCGGCGCGCUGGAUCUCUUCUGACGCUGAGGCGCGAAAGCCAGGGGAGCGAACGGG